Molecule: ribosomal RNA, 477 nt
Filed under: uncultured bacterium
Lineage: Bacteria
Description: partial 16S ribosomal RNA
Rfam family: Bacterial small subunit ribosomal RNA
Source: RNAcentral
AUUGAACGCUGGCGGCGUGCUUAACACAUGCAAGUCGAACGAGAACGCACCUUCGGGUGUUAUUAAAGUGGCGAACGGGUGAGUAUAAGUUGGGUAAUCUGCCCUAGACAUCGGGAUAGCCCAUGGAAACGUGGAUUAAUACCGGAUACUCCGUUUAUGUCGCAUGGCAUUUUCGGGAAAAGUCCGCUGGUCUAGGAUGAACCCAAUCCCUAUUAGGUUGUUGGUGAGGUAACGGCUCACCAAGCCCACGAUGGGUAGCCGAGCUGAGAGGCUGAUCGGCCACACUGGUACUGAGACACGGACCAGACUCCUACGGGAGGCAGCAGUGAGGAAUUUUGCGCAAUGGGCGAAAGCCUGACGCAGCAACGCCGCGUGCGGGAUGAAGGUCUUCGGAUUGUAAACCGCUUUCAGUUGUGAUGAAAAUGACAGUAGCAACAGAAGAAGCCCCGGCUAAAUACGUGCCAGCAGCCGCAGUAA